Molecule: ribosomal RNA, 252 nt
Filed under: uncultured bacterium
Lineage: Bacteria
Description: partial 16S ribosomal RNA
Rfam family: Bacterial small subunit ribosomal RNA
Source: RNAcentral
UACGUAGGGUGCGAGCGUUAAUCGGAAUUACUGGGCGUAAAGCGUGCGCAGGCGGUUAUGCAAGCCAGACGUGAAAGCCCCGGGCUUAACCUGGGAAUGGCGUUUGGGACUGCAUGGCUAGAGUACGUCAGAGGGGGGUGGAAUUCCACGUGUAGCAGUGAAAUGCGUAGAUAUCGGGAGGAACACCGGUGGCGAAGGCGGCGACCUGGGACGAUACUGACGCUGAGGUGCGAAAGCGUGGGAGCAAACAGG